CCUACUGGGCGCUUCAUUGAGGCAUCUUGGUCAAUGGCCGGAAGGCUGAACCAGCCAAGCCGCGUGAAGUCCUACUGUGCCAAGCAUUGUCCCCUUCUUUUGUCCCUUUCCCCCCUCCGGCUCGCGCGCCUGACCGAGGGUACUUGAAGAAAAAGCAUCGGCUAACUCCGUGCCAGCCGCCGCGGUCCUACGGCGGCUGCGCGCGUUCUCCGGCUUUCUUGGGUUUCCCGGGUGCGUCGGCGGGCUUUUAAUUCAGCGGUAACAGCCCGGGGCUCCACCCCGGCGAGCCGUUGAACCUGGCUGUCUUGAGAUGUCGAGAGGUAUGCGGAAUGCGCAGUGUAGCGGUGAAAUGCUUAGAUAUUGCGCAGAACUCCGAUUGCGAAGGCAGCAUACCGGCGGCGAUCUGACGCUGAGGCACGAAAGCGUGGGUAUCGAACAGGAUUAGAGACCCCAGUAGUC
Molecule: ribosomal RNA, 459 nt
Filed under: uncultured bacterium
Lineage: Bacteria
Description: partial 16S ribosomal RNA
Rfam family: Bacterial small subunit ribosomal RNA
Source: RNAcentral